ACAGCUGCUAAUACCGGAUACGAGACGAAGAGGCAUCUCUAUCGUCUGGAAAGUUUUCGGUCUGGGAUGGACUCGCGGCCUAUCAGCUUGUUGGUGAGGUAACGGCUCACCAAGGCGACGACGGGUAGCCGGCCUGAGAGGGCGACCGGCCACACUGGGACUGAGACACGGCCCAGACUCCUACGGGAGGCAGCAGUGGGGAAUAUUGCACAAUGGGCGAAAGCCUGAUGCAGCGACGCCGCGUGAGGGAUGACGGCCUUCGGGUUGUAAACCUCUUUCAGCAGGGAAGAAGCGAAAGUGACGGUACCUGCAGAAGAAGCACCGGCUAACUACGUGC
Molecule: ribosomal RNA, 337 nt
Filed under: uncultured Phycicoccus sp.
Lineage: Bacteria; Bacillati; Actinomycetota; Actinomycetes; Micrococcales; Intrasporangiaceae
Description: bacterial SSU rRNA
Rfam family: Bacterial small subunit ribosomal RNA
Source: RNAcentral